GGCGAACGGGUGAGUAAUAUAUCGGAACGUACCCAAGAGUGGGGGAUAACGUAGCGAAAGUUACGCUAAUACCGCAUACGAUCUAAGGAUGAAGGCAGGGGACCGCAAGGCCUUGUGCUCCUGGAGCGGCCGAUAUCUGAUUAGCUAGUUGGUGAGGUAAAGGCUCACCAAGGCAACGAUCAGUAGCUGGUCUGAGAGGACGACCAGCCACACUGGAACUGAGACACGGUCCAGACUCCUACGGGAGGCAGCAGUGGGGAAUUUUGGACAAUGGGGGCAACCCUGAUCCAGCAAUGCCGCGUGAGUGAAGAAGGCCUUCGGGUUGUAAAGCUCUUUUGUCAGGGAAGAAAAGGUCGUGGCUAAUAUCCACGACUGCUGACGGUACCUGAAGAAUAAGCACCGGCUAACUACGUGCCAGCAGCCGCGGUAAUACGUAGGGUGCAAGCGUUAAUCGGAAUUACUGGGCGUAAAGCGUGCGCAGGCGGUUUCGUAAGUCUGUCGUGAAAUCCCCGGGCUUAACCUGGGAAUGGCGAUGGAGACUGCGAGGCUAGAGUUUGGCAGAGGGGGGUAGAAUUCCACGUGUAGCAGUGAAAUGCGUAGAGAUGUGGAGGAACACCGAUGGCGAAGGCAGCCCCCUGGGUCAAAACUGACGCUCAUGCACGAAAGCGUGGGGAGCAAACAGGAUUAGAUACCCUGGUAGUCC
RNAcentral lists this ribosomal RNA (703 nucleotides) under uncultured bacterium. RNAcentral describes it as "bacterial SSU rRNA". It matches the Rfam family "Bacterial small subunit ribosomal RNA", at positions 97 to 796 of the family's 1533-position model. The record is from RNAcentral.